This 467-nucleotide ribosomal RNA is filed under the name uncultured bacterium. Its description in RNAcentral is "partial 16S ribosomal RNA". It matches the Rfam family "Bacterial small subunit ribosomal RNA", at positions 28 to 507 of the family's 1533-position model. The record is from RNAcentral.
GAUGAACGCUGGCGGCGUGCUUAACACAUGCAAGUCGAACGGAAAGGCCCAAGCUUGCUUGGGUACUCGAGUGGCGAACGGGUGAGUAACACGUGGGUGAUCUGCCCUGCACUUCGGGAUAAGCCUGGGAAACUGGGUCUAAUACCGGAUAGGACCACUUCUUGGAUGUUGUGGUGGAAAGUUUUUUCGGUGUGGGGUGAGCUCGCGGCCUAUCAGCUUGUUGGUGGGGUAAUGGCCUACCAAGGCGUCGACGGGUAGCCGGCCUGAGAGGGUGUACGGCCACAUUGGGACUGAGAUACGGCCCAGACUCCUACGGGAGGCAGCAGUGGGGAAUAUUGCACAAUGGGCGCAAGCCUGAUGCAGCGACGCCGCGUGGGGGAUGACGGCCUUCGGGUUGUAAACUCCGUUCGCUAGGGACGAAGCGUUUUGUGACGGUACCUGGAGAAGAAGCACCGGCUAACUACGUG